This 111-nucleotide ribosomal RNA is filed under the name Caerostris extrusa. The record is from RNAcentral. Lineage: Eukaryota; Metazoa; Arthropoda; Arachnida; Araneae; Araneidae.
ACGUCCAUACCAUGCUGAAUAUACCGGUUCUCUUUAGAUCACCGAAGUCAAGCAUCAUUGGGCGCGGUCAGUAUUUGGGUGGGUGGCCACCUGGGAACACCGCGUGCCGUU